RNAcentral lists this long non-coding RNA (1174 nucleotides) under Salmo salar (Atlantic salmon). RNAcentral describes it as "lncRNA (ENSSSAG00000118351.1)". The record is from RNAcentral. Lineage: Eukaryota; Metazoa; Chordata; Actinopteri; Salmoniformes; Salmonidae.
GCAGGGAAGGGUCAAAGAGAGUGGGAGAAAAACAGUGGGGUGAGUGAGAAAGAAGGAGAGGGCAAAGAGAAUGGGAGAAAAUGAGAGUGAGGUAAGAGAGAAAGAAGGAGGGGGAGAGUAGGGUGAGAGAGAGAAUGGAUUUAGCUACUCUGAGAUUGAUGGAGGUUCCUGGCUCGAGCUUCCUGCCUGUUUUGGACUACUGCCAAACUUGAACUCCGCUUGGUUUAGCCUACUUGGAUUUACUAUUUUUGACUCUCCCACAGCCCGAUGAAAAGCUUGCCUCCCUCCCGGCCUCCACCAGCCUAUACUGGAAACUACUUCCCUCCAAUGUACUAUACACUUGGCUAUCAUACUGGUACAUGGCCUCCGUUGUGUUGCUGUUUUGAUGGGCCCCAGCAUUUAAUCGCAUUGAACUGGUCGUCGUGCCACUGCCUUGCCACCAUGUCGCACCUCUCCCCCCACCUCCCUUGAAGAAUAAAGGAACAUAAUGGACGCUUUUUGAGGACCAGGAGGCAUGUCACACACCAUAAGCCCAGUGCAAGGCAGCGGUGGAUACACACAGUCUCGCACACCUGCUUCCAGAGAUUCCUGCUCCUUCAUCCUCUACCCUGUCUCCUGAGGGUCCAGCUCAGUGGGUUUCUACCACAAGACCAUACCCUCAGGCUUCCUCUCACAUCAAGCCUCGAGGGUGUCUGAGGCUUCAGUCCCCCUCAGUUUUCAAAUCACGUAGAGGGCUUUGGUUGUUGCACGAUAGCAACCAAAUCCCAUGCAAGUCAGUUUAUGAAAUUCCAUCACUGGUUACUCUGAGAGUUCCUCAUUGACAUUGGCUGCAGCCUCAGGCAUUAUGGUGCUAACUUUGGAAAAGUAUUUCCAAUUUCUACUCCUUCCUGUAUUACUAAUAGGGAUAGACCAAAUAGAACCCCACAGUGGAGAUGUUAUAAUACCCAUAAAACCUAGCAGUCAAACAGGGAAAUGGUUCCAAUCAAACCAGCCUUCGCUUGGCUCCCCCUCCUGUCCAGCUCAGGCGUUCGGCGUCGCUGGCCUUCUAGCUGCUGCUGAACCUGCUGCUGGAUAACGCCCUUCUCUCAUCAACCCCGGACUUGUCUCGUCAUCAUUACACACACCUGGUUCCAAUCUCCACUCUAUCACUGUAUAUAUACUCCCUCUGUCAUUU